GAUGAACGCUGGCGGCGUGCCUAAUACAUGCAAGUCGAGCGAACGGACGAGAAGCUUGCUUCUCUGAUGUUAGCGGCGGACGGGUGAGUAACACGUGGAUAACCUACCUAUAAGACUGGGAUAACUUCGGGAAACCGGAGCUAAUACCGGAUAAUAUUUUGAACCGCAUGGUUCAAAAGUGAAAGACGGUCUUGCUGUCACUUAUAGAUGGAUCCGCGCUGCAUUAGCUAGUUGGUAAGGUAACGGCUUACCAAGGCAACGAUGCAUAGCCGACCUGAGAGGGUGAUCGGCCACACUGGAACUGAGACACGGUCCAGACUCCUACGGGAGGCAGCAGUAGGGAAUCUUCCGCAAUGGGCGAAAGCCUGACGGAGCAACGCCGCGUGAGUGAUGAAGGUCUUCGGAUCGUAAAACUCUGUUAUUAGGGUAGAACAUAUGUGUAAGUAACUGUGCACAUCUUGACGGUACCUAAUCAGAAAGCCACGGCUAACUACGUG
RNAcentral lists this ribosomal RNA (497 nucleotides) under uncultured bacterium. Its description in RNAcentral is "partial 16S ribosomal RNA". It matches the Rfam family "Bacterial small subunit ribosomal RNA", at positions 28 to 507 of the family's 1533-position model. The record is from RNAcentral.